UGGCGAACGGGUGAGUAACACGUGGGCAACCUGCCCAAAANAGGGGGAUAACACUUGGAAACAGGUGCUAAUACCGCAUAACCAUAGUUACCGCAUGGUAACUAUGUAAAAGGUGGCUAUACUACCGCUUUUGGAUGGGCCCGCGGCGCAUUAGCUAGUUGGUAGGGUAAAGGCUUACCAAGGCAAUGAUGCGUAGCCGAAUUGAGAGGUUGAUCCGGCCACAUUGGGACUGAGACACGGCCCAAACUCCUACGGAAGGCAGCAG
This 265-nucleotide ribosomal RNA is filed under the name uncultured bacterium. RNAcentral's name for it is "partial 16S ribosomal RNA". It matches the Rfam family "Bacterial small subunit ribosomal RNA", at positions 96 to 354 of the family's 1533-position model. The record is from RNAcentral.